AAAAAUUUAGUUAAACAUAUAACAUCAAUUUGUCAAAUUGAAAUAAAUAUUAAAUAUUAAUUUUUA
Molecule: transfer RNA, 66 nt
Filed under: Alleculinae sp. ALL01
Lineage: Eukaryota; Metazoa; Arthropoda; Insecta; Coleoptera; Tenebrionidae
Description: tRNA-Asp
Source: RNAcentral